Molecule: ribosomal RNA, 1141 nt
Filed under: uncultured organism
Description: bacterial SSU rRNA
Rfam family: Bacterial small subunit ribosomal RNA
Source: RNAcentral
GCGUGAGAGCGCGACCCCCCACAAUGGAACUGAGACACGGUCCAUACUCCUACGGGAGGCAGCAGUGAGGAAUAUUGCGCAAUGGGGGAAACCCUGACGCAGCAACGCCGCGUGAACGAUGAAGGCCUUCGGGUCGUAAAGUUCUUUUCUAAGGGAAGAUAGUGACGGUACCUUAGGAAUAAGUCCCGGCUAACUACGUGCCAGCAGCCGCGGUAAAACGUAGGGGGCGAGCGUUAUCCGGAUUUAUUGGGCGUAAAGCGCACGUAGGUGGCGCUGUAAGUUAGACGUGAAAGCUCUCGGCUCAACUGAGAGAGGUCGUUUAAAACUGCAGUGCUUGAGGUUGGAAGAGGAGAGCAGAAUUCCCGGUGUAGUGGUGGAAUGCGUAGAUAUCGGGAGGAAUACCAGUGGCGAAGGCGGCUCUCUAGUCUACACCUGACACUGAGGUGCGAAAGCGUGGGUAGCGAACGGGAUUGGAUACCCCGGUAGUCCACGCUGUAAACGAUGGAUACUAGGUGUAGGGGGUCAUUUAACCCCUCUGUGCCGAAGCAAACGCGUUAAGUAUCCCGCCUGGGGACUACGGCCGCAAGGUUAAAACUCAAAGGAAUUGACGGGGGCCCGCACAAGCAGCGGAGCGUGUGGUUUAAUUCGAUGAUACGCGAAGAACCUUACCUGGGCUGAACUACGUGGUAGUAGUGAAGCGAAAGCGGAUCGACCCUUCGGGGAGCCUCGAUAGGUGCUGCAUGGCUGUCGUCAGCUCGUGUCGUGAGAUGUUGGGUUAAGUCCCGCAACGAGCGCAACCCUCGUCGCUAGUUACAAGUGUCUAGCGAGACUGCCGGUAUCAAACCGGAGGAAGGUGGGGAUGACGUCAAGUCAGCAUGGUCUUUAUGUCCAGGGCUACACACACGCUACAAUGGUCGGUACAAUAGGUUGCCACACCGCGAGGUGGAGCUAAUCCUCAAAGCCGAUCUCAGUUCGGAUUGUAGUCUGCAACUCGACUACAUGAAGGCGGAGUUGCUAGUAACCGCGCGUCAGCAUAGUGCGGUGAAUGCGUUCCCGGGCCUUGUACACACCGCCCGUCACAUCAUGGGAGUCGGUAACACCUGAAGUCGGUGACACUAACCGAAAGGGGGGAGCUGCCUAA